Molecule: long non-coding RNA, 1440 nt
Organism: Lolium rigidum
Lineage: Eukaryota; Viridiplantae; Streptophyta; Magnoliopsida; Poales; Poaceae
Exons: 4
Source: RefSeq, a predicted model, not a curated record
CUCUCUCCCCUCGCUUCCCCAGCCAUGGCGAAGUCUGGCUACCCACGCCGGCGCCUGCCCCAAACCAGACUCACGUCGGCGCCUGGCUCCCCUCACGCGCCCUACGACGCCGUUUGCUCCCCUCCCCCCAUGCCGCCUCGCUUAAACUUGGGUUUCCCCUUGGCGGAUUCCGUCGGGUAAAGGUCAAAAUUUUCCGUCGGUGUCUGUGAGCGGCGUUGCUCAAUUCGUCGAUGGUGCGGUUGGAUCCUUCGAUAGGAGUCUAGAUCCGCCGACGGCGAAGGAUAAGGAGGCUAAAGGCGAAGGUGAAGGACGCCGGUGAAGGCGAAGGAGAAGGAGGCCGACACCUGCUGCUCCUUCGACCAGAUCCGUCGCAGGUGGGCUGCUACCCCAAGGAGGUGGUCAUGGUGGCCGUGGAUGAGUGAAUGAGGAAGCAGUCCGAUUGUAAUCCUUCUCCCAGAUAAGUUUAAGAAGGAUGAAGAUGUCUGAGGAGAACCUGGCCUCCAGGGCCAGCUCAUGCUGAAACGGGAAUUUGAGAGUUUGAAGCUAUCAUGGAGUACCAUGGAACCAACAUUAGUUGCUGGUGUUUGUCAAAGGGCAGUUCACUGAUGGUGAGUGGGCUGAGGAAUAACAUAUGUCGAAAAUGAGGAUGACAAUUAGGUGGAGAGAAGUUGAGGUCUGGAAGAACCAUGGUGAUAUGUUGCGCUGUCGAGCGAGGAAGAAAGUGAUAUGCUGGGCACACGUCGGCGCUCUGUUAGGUGGGUGCUGGGCGCGCGUGGACCUGGAGCUGCUGGUGAGUUGGGUGGCGCAACCAGAUGGUCCGUGGAGGAGGAAGCGCAUGAGGAGGCAGUGCGCGCUCCGAUCCCUGGUGACUCCUGGCCCUGGCGUCUCCUGGCGAAGCCUUGGACGAGGGGCGAUGAGCUUCUACCUAAGGGGACGGCGGUCAGCUUCCUGGAUUGAUCGGACCUGGGACUCACUGGGCGGAGGAAAAGCAUCUGCAGGCCAGAGGUGGAGUCGCUGGGCGGAGGUGGAGCACCUGCUGGUCGCUAGGGUGGAAGAGAAACGGCUCCCAUGCGAGGGAUCGUCGGCCCUGGCAUCUCCUGGCGAAGCUUUGGACGAGGUGCGAUGAGCUUCUACCUAUGGGGACGGCGGCGGCUGCCGGGAUCGAUCAGACAUGGGACUCGCUGGGCGGAGGAGAAGUCCGGAGGUGCAGUCGCUGCCGGAGGUGGAGUACCUGAUGGUUGCUAGGGUGGAGGAGAAGCGGCUCCCAGACGAGGGAUCGUCGUCGAGAUGCGGUGGGAGGAGGACCUGGGCGAGACAGAGAUCGCCAUGAUCGCGAUCUGAUUGUAAUUUCGAAUCAAGGGUAGAAACGUCCUUUUACCGCUUUUCACCUGGUCGGAAAUUUCGCCCGGACGUCUUAUAUUUCUGCACGGAGGGAGUAUA